This 253-nucleotide ribosomal RNA is filed under the name uncultured bacterium. Its description in RNAcentral is "partial 16S ribosomal RNA". It matches the Rfam family "Bacterial small subunit ribosomal RNA", at positions 524 to 776 of the family's 1533-position model. The record is from RNAcentral.
UACGGAGGGGGCUAGCGUUGUUCGGAAUCAUUGGGCGUAAAGGGCGCGUAGGCGGCCCGAUAAGUCCCGCGUGAAAGCCCCCGGCUCAACUGGGGAACUGCGCGGGGAACUAUCGGGCUUGAGUUCGGGAGAGGGAAGCGGAAUUCCGGGUGUAGCGGUGAAAUGCGUAGAUAUCCGGAGGAACACCGGUGGCGAAGGCGGCUUCCUGGACCGACACUGACGCUGAGGCGCGAAAGCUAGGGGAGCAAACGGG